CAGUAGCCGCGGGAAUACGAAGGGUGCAAGCGUUACUCGGAAUUACUGGGCGUAAAGCGUGCGUAGGUGGUGGUUUAAGUCCGUUGUGAAAGCCCUGGGCUCAACCUGGGAAUUGCAGUGGAUACUGGGUCACUAGAGUGUGGUAGAGGAUAGUGGAAUUUCCGGUGUAGCAGUGAAAUGCGUAGAGAUCGGAAGGAACAUCUGUGGCGAAGGCGACUAUCUGGGCCAACACUGACACUGAGGCACGAAAGCGUGGGGAGCAAACAGGAUCAGAUACCCGCGUAGUCCCUGUCUCUUAUAC
RNAcentral lists this ribosomal RNA (301 nucleotides) under uncultured bacterium. RNAcentral describes it as "partial 16S ribosomal RNA". It matches the Rfam family "Bacterial small subunit ribosomal RNA", at positions 509 to 807 of the family's 1533-position model. The record is from RNAcentral.